UGAAAUAAAAGCGGGCCACUC
This 21-nucleotide non-coding RNA is filed under the name Arabidopsis thaliana (thale cress). The record is from RNAcentral. Lineage: Eukaryota; Viridiplantae; Streptophyta; Magnoliopsida; Brassicales; Brassicaceae.